GACGAACGCUGGCGGCGUGCCUAAUACAUGCAAGUAGAACGCUGAAGCUUGGUGCUUGCACCGAGCGGAUGAGUUGCGAACGGGUGAGUAACGCGUAGGUAACCUGCCUGGUAGCGGGGGAUAACUAUUGGAAACGAUAGCUAAUACCGCAUAAGAGUAGAUGUUGCAUGACCUUUGCUUAAAAGGUGCAAUUGCAUCACUACCAGAUGGACCUGCGUUGUAUUAGCUAGUUGGUGAGGUAACGGCUCACCAAGGCAACGAUACAUAGCCGACCUGAGAGGGUGAUCGGCCACACUGGGACUGAGACACGGCCCAGACUCCUACGGGAGGCAGCAGUAGGGAAUCUUCGGAAAUGGACGGAAGUCUGACCGAGCAACGCCGCGUGAGUGAAGAAGGUUUUCGGAUCGUAAAGCUCUGUUGUAAGAGAAGAACGAGUGUGAGAGUGGAAAGUUCACACUGUGACGGUAGCUUAACAGAAAGGGACGGCUAACUACGUG
This 497-nucleotide ribosomal RNA is filed under the name uncultured bacterium. RNAcentral's name for it is "partial 16S ribosomal RNA". It matches the Rfam family "Bacterial small subunit ribosomal RNA", at positions 28 to 507 of the family's 1533-position model. The record is from RNAcentral.